Molecule: ribosomal RNA, 3158 nt
Filed under: Candidatus Beckwithbacteria bacterium CG10_big_fil_rev_8_21_14_0_10_34_10
Lineage: Bacteria; Candidatus Beckwithiibacteriota
Description: bacterial LSU rRNA
Rfam family: Bacterial large subunit ribosomal RNA
Source: RNAcentral
UGAAAUAAAGCAGACAAUGGAUGCCUAGGAUCUUUGGGCCGAAGAAGGACGCGGCAGACUGCGAUAAUCGUCGGUGAGCUGUCAACAAGCUUUGACCCGGCGGUGUCCGAAUGGGGCAACCCAUCCUUUUGGAUAUCUUAAGGUGAAUACAUAGCCUUAAGAAGGGCACUUGGGGAACUGAAAUAUCUUAGUACCCAAAGGAAAAUAAAUCGAAUGAGAUUCCCUUAGUAGCGACGAGCGAAAGGGGAAAAGCCUAAACCUAAAGUUUACUUUAGGGGUUGCAGGACCUCAACAUGGGAUUUUUAAAGGAUAGAAGAAGUUGUUGGAAGACAACACCAGAGAAAGUGACAGUCUUGUAUUCAAAAUCCAAUAAAACCCUAGAGGAUUCCUAAGUACCACGGAAGAUGCCACUUUUGUGGGAAUCUAGGGAGACCACUCUCUAAGGCUAAAUACUCAAAGAUACCGAUAGUGAACUAGUACCGUGAGGGAAAGGUGAAAAGACGGGUGAGACACCCAGUGAAAUAGAACCUGAAAUUGUCUGCUAACAAACAGACAGAGCUGGCUUUUGCCAGUGAUGUCGUGCCUAUUGAAGAAUGAACCGGCGAGUUUCUCUCUAUCAGUUUAGAUUAACUAAGUUAUCUUAGGUAGUCGCAGUGAAAGCGAGCCUUAAAUGGGCGUUGAUUGAUAGAGGAAGACCCGAAACCGGGCGAGCUACCCAUGGGCAGGGUGAACCUUCUAGAGAUAGAAGGGGAAGCCCGAACCCGUAUCUGUUACAAAAGGUUGGGAUGACCUGUGGGUAGGAGUAAUAUGCUAAACGUGCCCGGAGAUAGCUGGUUCUCCCCGAAAUAUAUUUAGGUAUAGCGUCUUUAUCGUAAUUCUAUUGGGGGUAGAGCACUGAAUGGAUAUGGGGAGCUUGCUUCUCAUAUUUAAUCAAACUCCGAAUACCAAUUAGGAUGAUAGAGGCAGUCAGCGGCUGGGGGCUAAGCUCCAGUUGCUAAAGGGAAACAACCCAGACCCUCAUCUAAGGUCUCUAAUUUUUAGUUAAGUUGGAAAAGAAGUUUCUAAUCUUAAACAGCCAGGAGGUCGGCUUAGAAGCAGCCAUCCUUGAAAGAAAGCGUAACAGCUCACUGGUCGAUGAUUAGGGGCGCUGAAAAUUUAACGAGGAUUAAACUAAAAACCGAAGAUAGGGACUUAAUUUUAUUAAGUGGUAGGGGAGCGUUCUAUGGUCAGUGAAGCUGGACUGUAAAGUCUAGUGGAGAGCAUAGAAGUGAGAAUGCCGGUAUGAGUAACGAGAGUCCGGUGAGAAUCCGGACCGCCGAAUGUCCAAGGUUUCCUCAGCAACGUUCGUCGUCUGAGGGUUAGUCGGUCCUAAGGUGAGGCCAUAUGGCGUAGCCGAUGGAUAACAGGUUUAUAUUCCUGUACUAGCUUUUAAGUUUAUGUUAAAGGAGGGACGAAGCUUGACAAGUUGAGCGUCUUAUUGAAUUGACGUCUAAGCAACAAAACAGUUUCAACCAGAAAAUCUAUUGAAACAACGUUGAGUUGUGAGAAAGUCUUAAGUUCGCUUAAGGCAAUUCAACCUCGUUAAGCUUCCGAGAAAAACUUCGUUAACUUCUUUUAAGCUAACCGUACCGCAAACCGACACAGGUGGACAAGUCGAGUAGACUAAGGCGAGCGGGAGAACUAUCCCUAAGGAACUCGGCAAAUUAGCUGGACGUAACUUAGGAAGAUGUCCUUCCCACUUUAUGUGGGACGCAGCAAACGAUUCUCAAGCGACUGUUUAACAAAAACACAGGUCUCUGCAAACUCGAAAGAGGAAGUAUAGGGGCUGAAACCUGCCCAGUGCCGGAAGGUUAAAUGACUGGGUGAUAUCUUUGAUUGAGCCUGGAAUUGAAGCCCCGGUGAACGGCAGCAAUAACUAUAAUUGUUCAAAGGUAGCGAAGUACCUUGUCAGGUGAGUUCUGACGCGCACGAAAGGUGUAACGACUUGAGAACUGUCUUGGGGAUAGACCCGGUGAAAUUGAAAUGGCUGUGAAGAUGCGGCCUGCUUACUGCAGGACAAAAAGACCCUAUGGAGCUUUACUGUAACUUGGCAUUGAGCUUAAGUUAUUAAUUGUCGAGAAUAGGCGGGACCGAGCUUGCUCGGGCCAGUGGAAUACCGCUCUUUAAUAAUUUAAGAUCUAACCUUUGAACCCUGAAUCGGGUUUGGGGACAGUGUCUGGUGGGCAGUUUGACUGGGGAGGUUGUUUGCUAAAAAGUACCGCAAACGCGCAAAGGUAGCCUUAACUUGGAUGGAAACCAAGUUGGACGUGUAAAAGCAUGAAGGCUGCUUGACUGUGACACUUACAAGUGGAGCAGGGACGAAAGUCGGUUUUAGUGAUCCUCGGAUGCCGUGUGGAAGGCACCGAGCUUAACGGAUAAAAGCUACCCUAGGGAUAACAGAGUGGUCACGCCCAAGCGUCCAUAGCGACGGCGUGGUUCGCUACCUCGAUAAACCUAAAUAGUUAUGUCGCUUCUUUGAGUAAUCAAAGUUGAAAAAUCUGGCUAAUAACGGGGAAACCCUCUUGAUAAUUUUUAGUAUUAUCAAAGGGCAAUCUCGUGGGAAGUCCUAUAAAUAAUAUAGUGACCCCGUAGAGACUGAGGAUUAAUCCAAAAUAGCAGCUACUAUCACAUAUAGUGAUAAAUCUAAAGCUGUUAUUAUACGCCGGACCCCUUUAUUUAAUAUAAAGGGUGAUGAUAUAGUCCGUGCCAUUAGAAACAAUGGAGAACUCACGGUCGGCUCAGCGCAUCCUGGGGGUGGAGAAGCUCCCAAGGGUUGGUCUGUUCGCCCAUUAAAGCGCUACGUGAGCUGGGUUCAGAACGUCGUAAGACAGUUCGGUCUCUAUCCGCAGUAAGCGUUGAAUACUUGAGGGAAGUCGUCCACAGUACGAGAGGACCUGGAUGAGCUAAUCCCUGGUGUGCCAGUUGUUGCUGUCAAGCGCAUAGCUGGGUAGCCACAUUAGUUACGGAUAACUGCUGAAAGCAUCUCAAGCGGGAAGCCGUUCCCAAGAUUAGGUAUUCUUGUUUUGAAAAAACUGAAGGUUUCUGGAAGACUACCAGAUAUAUAGGCUGGAGGUGUAAGGAUAGUAAUGUUUUUAGCUGACCAGUCCUAAUUAACCAAA